This 503-nucleotide ribosomal RNA is filed under the name uncultured bacterium. Its description in RNAcentral is "bacterial SSU rRNA". It matches the Rfam family "Bacterial small subunit ribosomal RNA", at positions 29 to 508 of the family's 1533-position model. The record is from RNAcentral.
AACGAACGUUGGCGGCGUGGAUUAGGCAUGCAAGUCGCACGAGAAAGGUUUCGCAAGAGACCGAGUAAAGUGGCGCACGGGUGAGUAAUGCAUGGAUAACUUGCCCCUGAGAUGAGAAUAACAUUCCGAAAGGAGUGCUAAUACUCAAUGCCGCCUCUGGACGAUGGUCUAGAGGUGAAACGGAGGCCUCUGAUUCAAGCUUCCGCUCAGGGAGAGGUUCAUGUCCUAUUAGCUAGUUGGUGAGGUAAUGGCUCACCAAGGCUGCGAUGGGUAGCCGACCUGAGAGGGUGACCGGCCACACUGGGACUGAGACACUGCCCAGACUCCUACGGGAGGCUGCAGUCGAGGAUCUUCCGCAAUGGGCGCAGGCCUGACGGAGCGACGCCGCGUGGGUGAUGAAGGCCUUCGGGUUGUAAAACCCUGUUAGCUACAGUGAAACGCGGGUGGUGAACAGCCAUCCCGCCUGACGUAAGUAGCAGAGAAAGCACCGGCUAACUACGUGC